GAAAGCAUGUUAUAGUGGUUUGAACUUUGGACUAUGACUCUGGAGACCAGGGUUCAAAUCCCUGCUCAGUCG
RNAcentral lists this transfer RNA (72 nucleotides) under Phrynosoma platyrhinos (Desert horned lizard). Its description in RNAcentral is "tRNA-OTHER". Lineage: Eukaryota; Metazoa; Chordata; Lepidosauria; Squamata; Phrynosomatidae. The record is from RNAcentral.